AUGUGCCUCCCUUAGCUGCAGUUCCACUCCGGACUGGGUUCAACCUGUCACGAUCACUUAUAGGACCUAGAACCACCUUAAUGGGCAUCCCCUUGUUCAAAGAGCACUCUCAAAAUCUCUCUCUGCUACAGAAUGGCCAGUAGCCUCAUUCUCAGCUGCAACACGUCAGUGCGAAUACAGUCCACCUUCUACGCACCUCCAGGAGGGUACUUUUGGUGUAAUGGCACCCUAACCAAAGUUAUAACUGCCUCCCUCGCCUUCCCCUGUGUGCCCGUUAUUUCAGUCCCCCAGUUAGAAGUAUAUGGGCAGAUGGAGUUCCUAUCCCUCGUCACACCUCCCCCUACUCACCAAAGCAAGUGAGCUGUUUUCCUCCCAAUAGUAGUCAGUCUCUCCUUGGCAUCCUCUCUAGUGGCUGCUGGUAUAGGAGGCGGAGCAAUGGGCUACAGCGUUACUUCAGCAGCUCAGCUAGAAGACAAGCUCCAUGUAGCUAUUGAAGCUUCAGCUCCCUCUCUGGCAUCCCUUCAAGGACAAAUCACGUUGCUAGCUCAGUUAACUCCAAAACCGGCAGGCCCUAGACCUGCUGACGACGGAGAAAGGAGGCUUCAGCUUUCAAGAAGCAAUUUGCUGUGUUGUGAAGAGAUCUAUUUUGGACAUAAAGGUGGCCCGUAGGAGAUGAGAGCAACUCUAGUCAACAGCCAGCAAGAAAACUGGAACCUGAGUCCUACAUACACAGUAGCUGGAUUCUGUCAACACCAUGAAAGGGCAUGGAAAUGGAUUAUUUCCCCGUCAAGAUUCCAAGUGAGAACAAAGCUCAUCCAUUGAUUUCAGCUUUAUAAGACCUUGAGCAGGGAACCAGUUGAGCUGGGACCAUAUUUUUAGCUUACAGAACUUUGGGAUAAUAAAUGGAUGUUGUUUUGUGGUAAUUUGUUAUAGAGCAACAUAGAAUGAAUAUGAAUGAAUAAAGG
This 965-nucleotide long non-coding RNA is filed under the name Callithrix jacchus (white-tufted-ear marmoset). RNAcentral describes it as "lncRNA (ENSCJAG00000072734.1)". The record is from RNAcentral. Lineage: Eukaryota; Metazoa; Chordata; Mammalia; Primates; Cebidae.